AUGGAUACCGAAUGGGAACUAAAAUUCCCUCUGGUAACCGUGCGAGCCCUAGAGCGUAUCGAGGCCUUAUCGGAUCAUGCACCCAUCAUUCUGGAUUCUAACUCUACGAACCCAGCCACCCGACGCCCUUUCAAAUUUGAAUUGGGAUGGCUGAAUAGGGAUGGAUUCGUAGACAUGAUCAAGAAUGUUUGGGAGAGGCCCGCUGUUGGUCGUACACCUAUUCAAUGA
This 228-nucleotide ribosomal RNA is filed under the name Triticum aestivum (bread wheat). RNAcentral describes it as "partial small subunit ribosomal RNA". The record is from RNAcentral. Lineage: Eukaryota; Viridiplantae; Streptophyta; Magnoliopsida; Poales; Poaceae.